This is a small nuclear RNA of Homo sapiens (human), 89 nucleotides long. NCBI's taxonomy places the organism in Eukaryota, Metazoa, Chordata, Mammalia, Primates, Hominidae. The record is from Ensembl.
AAAAAAAAAAAAUAGAAUGAUGCAGAGAAGAUUAGCAUGGCCUCUGCACAAGGAUGUGAUGUGGUUUGGCUGCAUCCCCAAUCAAAUCU